GACGAACGCUGGCGGCGUGCUUAACACAUGCAAGUCGAACGGAAAGGCCCUUCUGUUUUGGGGUGCUCGAGUUGCUAAUGUGUGUGUGACACGGGAGUAACCUUCACGUGACGUUGGGAUAACUUGAAGAGACUGGGGAUAAUACCAGAUAGGAGCUCCUGCUGCAUGGUGGGGGUUGGUAAGUUUCGGCGGUUGGGGAUGGACUCGCGGCUUAUCAGCUUGUUGGUGGGGUAGUGGCUGACCAAGGCUUUGCCGGGUAGCCGGCCUGAGAGGGUUACCGGCCCCAUUGGGACUGAGAUAAGGCACAGACUCAUACGGGAGGCAGCAGUGGGGAAUAUUGCACAAUGGGCGGAAGCAUGAUGCAGCAACGCCGCGUGCGGGAUGACGGCCUUCGGGUUGUAAACCGCUGUCGCCUGUGAAGAAGAGUGAGUGACGGUAAUGGGUAAAGAAGCACCGGCUAACUACGUG
Molecule: ribosomal RNA, 468 nt
Filed under: uncultured bacterium
Lineage: Bacteria
Description: partial 16S ribosomal RNA
Rfam family: Bacterial small subunit ribosomal RNA
Source: RNAcentral